Rattus norvegicus (Norway rat) is the source of this 809-nucleotide non-coding RNA. The record is from RefSeq and is a predicted model, not a curated record. Lineage: Eukaryota; Metazoa; Chordata; Mammalia; Rodentia; Muridae.
UGCAACAACGUUCAGAGCAGUUCUGUCUGUACACGCGAGAUAACGGCAACUGUGGCUUCAGCAACGUCUGCCUCACCCAGAGAAAGGGAAGACUUAUGUGGAACAUAACCCCAUGAGUAGUUCUAUGCAUGAAGACUUGGGAAACAGAAGGAUGCAGUCAAGGGUGCACAGAUGGAAGAUUGUAACAGCUCAGAUUUUAAUGGCCACGCUGGUCAGAUUUUCAUCGCUGUAUUCAGCAAGUCUCACCAAGAGGCUUAAUGGUGGCCUGUUGUCCCUUCCAUCCAUCUACCCAAGACAAAGCACAAAUGCAAUGUGACUCACCGAUAACGGCCACAGCUGCAGCUGCGGGGUAUGUCACCCUCAGCAGCACUAACCCUUUGCCUCAGGCAGCAUAUGGACAGUGACAGGCUGAUCACCCCGAUGAUGAAGAACUGGGUAGACGGAGGAUGGAUGCCUUUGAGUUGUCGAGGCCCGGGUGCCUCCCAUUCAUUGGACGGCUUCUGUCUCCUUUGCACGGUAAAUUCAGGUUGGAUCCGAAGAGGUUCCGAUUUUGCUCAGGGAGAGAUUAUUCAUAUUUUCGAACUUUUUGACAGCUGACCAAUUAAAAACUAGAUGAUGCCAUUAACAAGCUCUAAAUAAGCCAGGAUUUUGAGCAAUAGAAAGCACCGAAGUCAGUACAGUCGCACCACACGCAGCAGGAGCUGGAGAGAAAUUCAAAGAUAAUUACAGUUGAUGCUAGUGGCCUCAGGGGUACUGGGCAGGACUCAAGUCAUUAACUAUGGUGCAACAAAUUCCGUGUUUUAUACAUA